RNAcentral lists this long non-coding RNA (1515 nucleotides) under Sparus aurata (gilthead seabream). Its description in RNAcentral is "lncRNA (ENSSAUG00010007137.1)". The record is from RNAcentral. Lineage: Eukaryota; Metazoa; Chordata; Actinopteri; Spariformes; Sparidae.
AUGUCUACAUGGACCAGAAGACAGUUGAUUUGUGGGGAAAAAUUCAGGGCUGCAAUGCCAGAGCUGUUAAACUGCAAGUUGGCCGCAGAGACUGUAACCCAGCAUUGCUGUCAACAGUGCAAAACAGUUGAUGCUGUAGUCCGGUGCCUAGACUGCGUUCCCUCAGGAACUCAGUUUCUCUGUUCAUCGUGUGACUCAAUCAUCCACAGAAAAAAUGUCUUCCAUGACAGAGAAGCCAUGAUUGAUGGCUUUUUAAAACCUAUUCCGCCCACAUCCCUAGUUGUGGUGGAUGAAAGUGGCCAAUAUCAACUUGGUGAACAAGUGUGUCUUCUUCCGAUACCUCCACCAAGACAAAUCUGCUCCUGCGGUCCAAACCAAGACUUCAUCAUUAUCCCAGGAAAGCAGACUGUCUUGGUGACCAUCAACGGUAUGUUAUCACUUCCUUCUACUUUUAUAUCCCACUAGAAGGUGACGUGAGGUCAAACAUGAUAAUGGCUAAUUAUUAUCCUUUUGUCCUGUGUUGUACAGAUACUGAUCAAAUCGUAAAUAUAAUUUUGUUUUCAGGUCCAUACCACCUGUGCCUGCCUGCUGUGUGCUGUCCACUUUGUUCUUGCAAAUGGACCCCAGGGAUUGGUGACCUGCUUGGAUACAGAUACUGGCCAGCGACCACCAGCUGUCAAAUGCUGUUCAAGUUUGAUGUGUUCACAUCAUUUGAGCAGAUGAAGUUGGCCAGCCCAGCUAUAUCCCAACAAGCAUUUCUCAAAAUGCUUGAACAUCGAUCCCUUUGCACAGGACAAGUAAGAACUCUCAUUUCAUUAUAAAAAUAUUUGAAUUCCAAACUUUAAAUUAAUACCAUCCUUCUUUCCAGACAGGUGGUAUUUGUGGUGAUACCUUCCACAGAGUCUUUCGAGAGUUUGCCUUCUGCAAUUUUAAGAAAGAAGAUCUGUGCCCGGUGGAGCCCUUUAAAUGCCCAGCAUGCACACCAGACAUGCUGGCUAUAUCUGCAGAUGGUAAUAGAAAGCAUAGAGGCACAACAACCCGACUACCGAUCACACAUUUCAGCUAUUAUGGCCUUGGAAAGUUGAUAUGGCUAAAGUGUUAUCUAUUUACUACUUUCACAUCCAGCAGAUAUAAGGCAACAUUAGCAUUAAUUUGACUACAUGUUGCUCUUUGAUUGGUUACUGUGAUUGCACUGGUGACUUCCUAGGUCUGGGUUUGUCUCCUUACCAUGAUGCUAUCAUGCACCCCAAAUAUUAAGUGAUUUUCCCAUUACAGGUAUUGGCCGUAUUUGAUGAAGAUGGCAGAGAAGUUGCCUGAGCUCCAACCACUUACAGUGAUGAAGCCAUUUCUCUCUGUAAUGCAUGCCAAGGCUCACACUGGCAAAUGCGAGGUACAGUGCGCAAGUUAAAUGUGUAUGUGUCAUAGGAUGUUUUAGAGGAACAUAUCCCUACAGUCUCUUGCACAGGAAACAUUGCUCUUUUUUAUCACUUCAGGUACAGGUUUCAGAAACGGUUG